AGGAUUGUAGUUAAAAAUAACAUUUAAUUUGCAAUUAAAAAGUACUAAACAGUCAAUCUUU
RNAcentral lists this transfer RNA (61 nucleotides) under Japanagallia curvipenis. RNAcentral's name for it is "tRNA-Ala". Lineage: Eukaryota; Metazoa; Arthropoda; Insecta; Hemiptera; Cicadellidae. The record is from RNAcentral.